Molecule: ribosomal RNA, 910 nt
Filed under: Treponema sp. oral taxon 256
Lineage: Bacteria; Pseudomonadati; Spirochaetota; Spirochaetia; Treponematales; Treponemataceae
Description: bacterial SSU rRNA
Rfam family: Bacterial small subunit ribosomal RNA
Source: RNAcentral
AACGAACGCUGGCGGUGCGUUUUAAGCAUGCAAGUUGAACGGUAAGGGGAGAGCUUGCCCUCCUCCUAGAGUGGCGGACUGGUGAGUAACGCGUGGAUGAUCUACCUUUGAGAUGGGGAUAGCUCUUAGAAAUAGGAGGUAAUACCGAAUAACCUUAAUAUGUUAUGACAUAAUAAGAAAAGGAGCGUCAGCUCCGCUUAAAGAUGAGUCUGCGUCCCAUUAGCUAGUUGGUAAGGUAAAGGCUUACCAAGGCGACGAUGGGUACCCGGCCUGAGAGGGUGAACGGGCACAUUGGGACUGAGAUACGGCCCACAACUCCUACGGGAGGCAGCAGCUGAGAAUCUUCCGCAAUGGACGAAAGUCUGACGGAGCGACACCGCGUGAACGAUGAAGGCCGGAAGGUUGUAAAGUUCUUUUGCAGACAAAGAAUAAGGAUAGAAGGAAAUGACUAUCUGAUGACGGUAGUUAUGCGAAUAAGCCCCGGCUAAUUACGUGCCAGCAGCCGCGGUAAUACGUAAGGGGCGAGCGUUGUUCGGAAUUAUUGGGCGUAAAGGGCAUGUAGGCGGUUAGGUAAGCCUGAUGUGAAAUGUAUGAGCUUAACUCAUAAACUGCAUUGGGUACUGCUUGACUUGAAUCACGGAGGGGAAACUGGAAUUCCAAGUGUAGGGGUGGAAUCUGUAAGAUAUUUGGAAGAACACCGGUGGCGAAGGCGGGUUUCUAGCCGAUGAUUGACGCUGAUGUGCGAAGGUGCGGGGAGCCAAACAGGAUUAGAUACCCUGGUAGUCCGCACAGUAAAACGAUGUACACUAGGUGUUGGGGUAAGACUCCAGUGCCCGGAGCAAACCGCGAAUAAAGUUGUACCCGCCCUGGGGGGAGUUAUUGCCCGUCGCCAAAGGGGUGAAAAACCUCC